AUUGAACGCUGGCGGCAGGCCUAACACAUGCAAGUCGAACGGUAACAGGAAGCAGCUUGCUGCUUCGCUGACGAGUGGCGGACGGGUGAGUAAUGUCUGGGAAGCUGCCUGAUGGAGGGGGAUAACUACUGGAAACGGUAGCUAAUACCGCAUAAUGUCGCAAGACCAAAGAGGGGGACCUUCGGGCCUCUUGCCAUCGGAUGUUCCCAGAUGGGAUUAGCUUGUUGGUGGGGUAACGGCUCACCAAGGCGACGAUCCCUAGCUGGUCUGAGAGGAUGACCAGCCACACUGGGACUGAGACACGGUCCAGACUCCUACGGGAGGCAGCAGUAGGGAAUAUUGCACAAUGGGCGCAAGCCUGAUGCAGCAAUGCCGCGUGUAUGAAGAAGGCCUUCGGGUUGUAAAGUACUUUCAGCGGGGAGGAAAGGAGUAAAGUUAAUACCUUUGCUCAUUGACGUUACCCGCAGAAGAAGCACCGGCUAACUACGUG
RNAcentral lists this ribosomal RNA (490 nucleotides) under uncultured bacterium. RNAcentral describes it as "partial 16S ribosomal RNA". It matches the Rfam family "Bacterial small subunit ribosomal RNA", at positions 30 to 507 of the family's 1533-position model. The record is from RNAcentral.